CCCUCCUCCCUCCUCCCUCUCCCUCUCCCGGUCUCCGACUCCUCUCCCUCUCCCGGUCUCCAAGGUUUAGCGUUUUUUCUUCUUUUUUACUUUUGAUUUCGAAUUGAUUUUUAGGCUAUGCUUUAUGUUUUACUGUCCAAUUUCCCAAAUUUAUGUUUAGGAGAUAAAUUAUCCUCAUUUUUUAAACAUAUGCUUUGUUGGUAAUGAACAUGAAGCUUGCACUGUGCACUUGUUAUAUUCCAUGACUAGGUGCUGCAUUCAUCGUGGGCUGGGUACAAAUUUUUAAACAUAAGAUACAAAAUAUAAAAUAUAAAAACCUAUAUCAAAUCCGGAUGAAUAUAUAUAUAUAUAUAUAUUUAAUUGAAUUCAUAUUUUUGAACAAGUAUAAUUUCAAAAAUAUAUAUAUUUCACAUUAUAUUAAGUGUUUAAUGAACAUAAUGAAAAAAUAUUUUUUAUAGAAUAAAGACAAAAUAAGAUUGAAUUUUUACUUUUUCAAUGUUGCCUCAGCUUUGAAUUAACGAGCAACAUUGAAUAACUGUAUCCGCCCAUGCCUCAGCCUUCAUUCAAAUUAAUAUUUUAAACAGGAUGAGCGGCUAUUUUAGAUCGAAGAAGAGUUCAAUGGGCCAAAGGUCCGAAUCGUCUGAGGGAACCUCUCUAGCAACCCUCAAACGUCGUUUCAGGGCCAGAUGAUAGCCAGACGUGCGAGCCUUCUGGAGACGGCGCAGAGGUAGCCGAAGGUGCCCCAUUCAUCGAGGUAGCCGAGCGUCCCUCGUUCCUCGAGGCAGCUAUGGCCUCAGACCCAGACGGAAGUUUCUGCACCCCGUAUGCCUGAGAUACAUGAUGUGCUAGUAUUUUCCUAUAUUUUUACGCCCUUUAAUCUUGAUAUUUGUGUAUAGUUCUCCUUAUUUUUAGUCCAUUUACUUAGUUUAGUGUGUUUGUAGGUUUGAAGAGCAAAGAUAAGGAAAAGAAGCAAAAAGAGAGCAAAAAGGAUUGAAGGUCGUUUGCAGUCCUGACAACUGAGCAGU
RNAcentral lists this long non-coding RNA (1025 nucleotides) under Fragaria vesca (wild strawberry). RNAcentral's name for it is "long non-coding RNA (FVES_LNC004737)". The record is from RNAcentral. Lineage: Eukaryota; Viridiplantae; Streptophyta; Magnoliopsida; Rosales; Rosaceae.